GAUGAACGCUGGCGGCGUGCCUAAUACAUGCAAGUCGAGCGAACGGACGAGAAGCUUGCUUCUCUGAUGUUAGCGGCGGACGGGUGAGUAACACGUGGAUAACCUACCUAUAAGACUGGGAUAACUUCGGGAAACCGGAGCUAAUACCGGAUAAUAUUUUGAACCGCAUGGUUCAAAAGUGAAAGACGGUCUUGCUGUCACUUAUAGAUGGAUCCGCGCUGCAUUAGCUAGUUGGUAAGGUAACGGCUUACCAAGGCAACGAUGCAUAGCCGACCUGAGAGGGUGAUCGGCCACACUGGAACUGAGACACGGUCCAGACUCCUACGGGAGGCAGCAGUAGGGAAUCUUCCGCAAUGGGCGAAAGCCUGACGGAGCAACGCCGCGUGAGUGAUGAAGGUCUUCGGAUCGUAAAACUCUGUUAUUAGGGAAGAACAUAUGUGUAAGUAACUGUGCACAUCUUGACGGUACCUAAUCAGAAAGCCACGGCUAACUACGUGCCAGCAGCCGCGGUAAUACGUAGGUGGCAAGCGUUAUCCGGAAUUUAUGGGCGUAAGCGCGCGUAGCGGUUUUUUAAGUCUGAUGUGAAAGCCCACGGCUCAACCGUGGAGGGUCAUUGGAAACUGGAAAACUUGAGUGCAGAAGAGGAAAGUGGAAUUCCAUGUGUAGCGGUGAAAUGCGCAGAGAUAUGGAGGAACACCAGUGGCGAAGGCGACUUUCUGGUCUGUAACUGACGCUGAUGUGCGAAAGCGUGGGGAUCAAACAGGAUUAGAUACCCUGGUAGUCCACGCCGUAAACGAUGAGUGCUAAGUGUUAGGGGGUUUCCGCCCCUUAGUGCUGCAGCUAACGCAUUAAGCACUCCGCCUGGGGAGUACGACCGCAAGGUUGAAACUCAAAGGAAUUGACGGGGACCCGCACAAGCGGUGGAGCAUGUGGUUUAAUUCGAAGCAACGCGAAGAACCUUACCAAAUCUUGACAUCCUUUGACAACUCUAGAGAUAGAGCUUUCCCCUUCGGGGGACAAAGUGACAGGUGGUGCAUGGUUGUCGUCAGCUCGUGUCGUGAGAUGUUGGGUUAAGUCCCGCAACGAGCGCAACCCUUAAGCUUAGUUGCCAUCAUUAAGUUGGGCACUCUAAGUUGACUGCCGGUGACAAACCGGAGGAAGGUGGGGAUGACGUCAAAUCAUCAUGCCCCUUAUGAUUUGGGCUACACACGUGCUACAAUGGACAAUACAAAGGGCAGCGAAACCGCGAGGUCAAGCAAAUCCCAUAAAGUUGUUCUCAGUUCGGAUUGUAGUCUGCAACUCGACUACAUGAAGCUGGAAUCGCUAGUAAUCGUAGAUCAGCAUGCUACGGUGAAUACGUUCCCGGGUCU
This 1370-nucleotide ribosomal RNA is filed under the name uncultured bacterium. RNAcentral describes it as "bacterial SSU rRNA". It matches the Rfam family "Bacterial small subunit ribosomal RNA", at positions 28 to 1381 of the family's 1533-position model. The record is from RNAcentral.